This 616-nucleotide long non-coding RNA is filed under the name Oryza sativa Indica Group (long-grained rice). Its description in RNAcentral is "lncRNA OsZS97_10G004100". The record is from RNAcentral. Lineage: Eukaryota; Viridiplantae; Streptophyta; Magnoliopsida; Poales; Poaceae.
AUGUGGAUUGCGGUGCCGGCGGAAGGGGAAGAAAUCGGUUCCAGCGAGGGCAUCGGUGGAGUAUGGCGGCGUCGGCGGAAGGGGACGACCCUCCGGCGGCGCGAACGGGGAAUGCGAGGAGGAAUAGGGUGGAGGAGGAGGAGCAUCGGCGGGAGCACCGUUGGACUGAGGCGGGGCGAGGAGAAUCGGGGCGAGGAGGAGCGCGAGUCCAGCAUGGUCAGCGCAAGUUCAUCGCGCGAGAAGGAGGAAGCGGACAAUCCGUGGCGGAUGGAUGGACAUCGCUGGCGGAUGGAUGGAGGAUAUGGAUCAGGACAGACGCAGAUGGACGGUAUCGCCUCCACCGAGCCACAAGCCGGACUAUGGCUACCGUCCACCGCCAGUGUCAAGGACAAGGAAGGCUACCUGGCGUUCGCGCUGGUUCGGCUGCUGCCAUCCAACCCGGAGUACCAGGAUGAGUCGGUGCUGUGGACGGAGAGCAAGAACAUCGGCCACGGCUUCCGCUGCGUCCGGAUGGUGAACAUCUACCUCAACUUCGACACCUUCCUGUUAGGGUUGUCUAUUGGAUCAACUAGGUUUACAUCUAGUCAGGUGGUUUAUUUGGGUUGAAUGAUUGAAC